This 8186-nucleotide unclassified non-coding RNA is filed under the name Homalodisca vitripennis (glassy-winged sharpshooter). RNAcentral describes it as "beta-1,4-glucuronyltransferase 1, transcript variant X1". The record is from RNAcentral. Lineage: Eukaryota; Metazoa; Arthropoda; Insecta; Hemiptera; Cicadellidae.
CAUUCAUAUGAUGUUCCAGGAGGACUGUAUGGUGAGGAUGCUAUGACGUUGUGGGUCCCCAAUCACCAGCACAGUGGCGGUAAAGCCUGGCAUGUUAACUCGCCGCAACUGGGUGUUGCGCACCAGCAUUGUCCUCAACAUAAUAGUCCUGCUAUAUGUCGGAACACAUGUCGCUUCCAGAAAUGGAGGGGUGGACAUGUUGGAGGAAAUGCAGGCUGGUGGACGCAGCUUGGCAUCACUGGAGAUAACCCAGGACUCUGCACUUCCUGCAGUGGUUGGCUCAGAUAACCCAGAGACUCAGGCUGCCGCCCUCGUACAGGGCACAACAUCAGCCCCAGGCAUGCGGCACAGUACAACGGUGGCAACCUCCACGGAACAUAAGGAGAUGAGCAGCACUGAGGAGAUGGAGUCCCUUAACACGCUAGAGGAGAUCAUCGGGUGUAAGGAUCGGGAGGCGGUACCACGGACUGAGCAGCGUGGGGACUACUGGGUACUGUACAACUAUGUACGGGCUGCGAGACACUUCCAUUGCUGGGAGAGUAUCACCUACACCACACAUGCAGACUUCACCUUCCUCGACAACCUGGAGACUCUGCUGGAUCGGUGGCAAGGUCCUAUUUCGCUGGCCUUGCACGCACCUGGUACCGACUUCAUGCCCACUCUCAACACCAUCCGCUACUUGCGCGAGUGCACCUCGUCACCGAUAGCCGACUACGUCACUUUCCAUGUGUAUUUUCCUAGUAAACAUGUUCCAAAACAAGUUCCUCGUGUAGACAAAGUGUUUGAUGAACAUUUUAAUUGUUCUAAUCCCCCACCGUGGGUCACAAUGCCAGCAAACACCAUUUAUAAAGCUCAGAAGAAGCUGCUCUAUCCUGUGAAUGUUGGUAGAAACAUUGCGAGAGAGAGUGCGGUAACUCAUUAUAUUCUUCCUAGUGACAUUGAGUUGUAUCCUAGUCCAGGAGUUAUUCCUGAUUUUCUAGAUAUGGUGAGGAGGCAAGAUCCACCUCUACAACACAAACGCCCCAAAGUGUUUCCUCUUUCAAUUUUUGAAUUGGAAUCAAAUAUGAAUCUUCCUGUCAACAAGAGUGAUCUGGUCUCUAUGUUAAGAAAUGGCACAGCCAUACCUUUCCACAAGAAAGUGUGUCCUGGCUGUCACAACGUGCCCAAGUCUAAGGAGUGGCAGAACGCCCCUCCCGGUGAAGGACUGAAAGUAUUCCAUAUUGGAAAACGAACUGGAUAUUUUGUGCACUGGGAGCCGAUAUUCAUAGGCACUCAUGAGGAUCCGUUGUACGAUGAGAGGCUGAGUUGGGAGGGAAAGAGUGACAAGAUGACUCAGGGUUACAUCCUAUGUGUUUUGGACUACGAAUUCCAAAUUCUUGACAAUGCUUUUUUGGUACAUAAGCCAGGAAUUAAGACACUAAAGAAAGAUCCAGCAAGAGCACUUCUUGCUGGAAAAACUAACUCUCUGAUUCGCAAGAUCAUCUUCCCGGAGCUGAGGGUGCUGUUUGGUGUAAGAAAGGGUUGUGCUGUCUGACAUUCACACUUUCACUCUCACUUCCAAGGAAUUACACCUAGGUGACAAGAAGUGAAUACCGGUGUCAACAAAAGACACUUCAUCUUGCUGCAAGAUUGAUUUAGUCAAAGAGUCUGGUUUUUCUCUGACCACAAGUCAGGAAUGUGCUUUUCUUCACCAAUUAGGACGGAGAUAGUGUCUUAAGUAGCUGUAAACCAUAUCAUUUGUAAUUUUAAUUAUACUCACAUUUAUUAUUUGUGUACAGUACAUUACUUCUACAAGGUUGUGAUUCACUCAAUAAUAUAUCAGAUCAGUUUAUUCCGCCAAGGUUACACUAAUCUUUCUUGUAAAGUUAAAUGCAAAAAAGGAGAUGAUAUUCUAUAAUUUUAUACAGUUUGUAUAAAGUAUUGUAUUUUCAUGUUUAAUUUUACAGAGAUAGAGUUAAUAUUGAUUGAUAUAGAGAUAAGUUUUGAUACAAUUUGUUCAGGAUGUUUCUGGGAAAGCAAAAUCAAUUAUUUAUAUUGAUUUUAUCUUUACAGUUGUAUGUGAUUAGUAACUAAUAUUGUAUCCAUUAUUGGUUUACCUUUUAAUAACCUUUUAAGUAAAAUGCAAAACAAAAGAAAAUAUUGUGUUUCAUCAUAUGACAUUAUUUAUAUUUUGUGAAUAAAUUUAGAUUUAAAAAAAAUUUAGCAUAUAAAUCAUACAAGCAGUCUAAAAUUGAGGGUGGGAAACAAAAACUGACAUAUCAUGUCCCAAUAUAAUAAAGUAAUAAUAAUUAUGUCUAAGAUCCAUUGAUGCUCUCUUAAUUUGUUACAAGGGGUCAACCCUUUAUUUAAGCUAAUUACAACUAUUCAUUAAUCUUCAAUCAUUAUUUUUCCUGAGUGUGGUCCAAUAGGAUCUGACCUAACUCUCUGAUUGGAAAAGUCAGAUAUUUUCUACCUACCGUUGCAAAUGCAAUUUAACACAUUAGAAUGUUAUAAAAAUCUAUAAAUAUGUACACCAAUAGGUCAGUAAAUGUUCAAGACUGCAGUUUUAAAACUGUCUACAAUAUUAUAUGUGCUAUAUAUGAUCACAUUAAUGUUCAAUGUUUAUAAAUAUUUUGUGAUAAACUGCAGUCAUGAUAGCAGCCAAGCAACUUUACUGAAAAUAAACCUUUUUCAUUAAGCUGUUAUUUCUAGAAAUACCAUUCAUAAGCAGAUGUGGUUGAUAUUACUGGAAAGAUAUUGUAAAAACCUUUCACAAUUUGUUGAUUUAAAGAAUUAAUCACGCAAAUAUUUGCUACGAUAAUAUAUCUCAGAAAAAUGUAUAGGGACAUUCUAAACAUUCAGUAACAUUUUCAUUGCUAGAUGUUUACGGAUAAUUUGACCAGAUAAUUGAUUCGUAACAGAUAUCCAUUUCUUUUCAUAUUCAUGUAAAAUAGCAGUAAAAUAGCACUAGUUAAUAAAAUGUAGGCUACAUUUGGGUUCAAGAAUUUUGACACCAGCUGAGUUGUAGGCCUGAUUCUAUGCCAUUCUUUCUGUCUGCUGUUCUAUUUUGCAUAAUGUUGUUCUGGUCAUAUGAUAAGUGCAACCGGUGUUUUGUAAUUAAUUGUGUUUAUGUUGUGAUAAUAAUGAAUUAGUAUUAUUUUGUGUUGUAAAAGGCAUUAUUGGGUGUUGUGAUAAUUGAAAUGUCUAAUAACUGGAGAUAUUUCACCAUGUGGCCAAUCAAAAUGGUUCAACUCGUUGAGGCCAGACAUUUGAGCAAUCUAAGGGAAGAGGUGUGACUACGAUAUUUUACACUAGCUAGAUAUCCAUGCACCGUUCUCAGUCAGUUUAGACACAGCUGGACUAACCUGGUGGAUCUGAGCUACAUUAUCAAUCAUUCAUUAUUUUUAAGCAAAUGCUUCAACAAUAGGUGGUUUAAACAAACAUUAAAUUAUAGAUCUCUACUAUUUUACCCGCAAGGAAAUCUUUUCUAAGAAUCUUAAAUAGUAACAAUAUUACACAGGGGAGGAUCCACAUUCAAUCUAUACAUUAUACAUAAUACAAAGUAUUAGACCAUUCCCGUCCAAAAUAUUGUCAAAAAAUAUUACUGAUAUUGAAUAACAAAAGAAUAAAUAAAGAACAGCUAUUCACACUUUAAAUGUUACAACAAAUUAAACAUUUCAAAAAUGUUAAAUGAACCACUUAACUAAUUGUUAAGAACUAUGAGAUUUAUGAUUUAAUAUUGAUUGGUUGCUGAUUCUAUUACCAUUCCAUCUAAUUAACAGUAUAUUUUAACAUUUAUAAGUAAGAAGAUGAAGAAACCUAUAUUUAAAAAACACUGUCAUAAUAGAGUAUGUAUCUUAAGGUUAAUAAUAAUUGAAAUAUUUACAAUUUGAAAAAUAAUUCUAUUUUCUGAGUCCAAUUAUGGAUAUUUUAAUUUGAAAAAUAAUUACAAUUAACUAAAAAAUAUAUAAUAACACAAGUUAUUUCAAAAUUUAGCUUAUUCAGUUAUGAAUUUUGUUAUCUAGCAACAAAAUUAACAAUACAAAUCCUUAAAUUUGUAUUAUUGCUAUCAUAAAACAGGUAAUUAUAGUAGUUAUUUCUUAGAAAGCAUAAACACAAAACUAAACAAGCUGUUUUAAUCUUUCUCUUGAUAUUGCAGUAAAAUCAUUUGUAAUUAUAGUAGUUAUACAAAUUCGAGUUUCCAUAAUUUUGAUAUGUUUUAUUAACUUUGAACUAAAUUUAUUUUAAAACUAUUUUAAAUAGUCAUUAUAUUUAUUGAGUAUAUACAAAUUCUAUUCAUUAAGUAUAUACAAUUUAUUUGUUUGUGAUACAGGUUAUUCUUUUUUCACAUAUAUUAAUACUUUUUAGCAUCAUUUGACUCAAAUACACAUUUCAGAUGUAAUUGACUUAUUUUCCUUUUGCUGCUCUAACUCAGUUACACAAAUACAUAUAGAAAUAUGUUGUAUUUGUAUGGUAUCUAAAAUUCUGUUAUAAAUGAGAAAUAACUGGAGCAUUAUUUAUUCAUGUGUAUGUAUCUAAUAUAUAUAUAUAUAUAUAUAUAUAUAUAUAUAUAUAUAUAUAUAUAUAUAUAAACUUUUCAUUAGAUAAGAAUGAGUUUAAAAUUAAAUACUGAAUGAUAUUGUUUUGAAAUUGUAAGAAGAUACUCUCCAUCAGUGUCACUGAAAGUAGAUCGUUAUCACUAAUCUAUAAAGGAACCACGAAUAAAGCUGAUUGUAAAACAUUUAUUUGCCUUUUGCAUGUUUCAUAUUGCUUUGUUUUCCUUCAUGUGAAUGUAAAAUAUAAUUGUUGAAAUCUGCCUCUUAAUUAUUCCUGAGUGUUUUGUUUAUGACAUUUGCGUCCGUAGUGAAAGGCUGUAGUGAGUAACAUGUGCCUGCUUGCAAACCAUUCCAGCCCAUUUUAAACAUCAAUUUAAGAAUCAAUCAAAGUUGUGCCUUAUUUUAUGAAUGAUUUGCUAGUCUACAAGUACAUCUCCUAAUUAUUCCUAGUGAGAGAAAGAAAAGUAUUGUCUCAGAGAACUAGUGAGACCUUUUAACAGAAUUAUGUAGUUUAGAAAUGAAUAUAGUCUCCUUUUGUGAUAGGAUGAAUGAGUCUUUGGUCAUACUGUGUUAUGCAUCACAUUUGAGAUAGUUUUAUGAUCGAAAUAGCAUAUAAAUAUAGGAUUACAAAAUAUUAUUUACUAGAAUUUUUGAUGUAGUAUUGUUUAAAUUUUACAAGUUUCUGAUUGUUUUAAAUGUCAUCUAAUUCAUUUACAAUAUAUUAAACCGUUUAACAGUAUGUUUCAGUAGUGAUUGAAUUCUGCUAGGAAUUACUUUAGAAUUGUUAACAUCAGAUAUUUGAAAGGAUAAUAAGAUUUUGGACAUAUGCCAUAGUUAUAUGUUACAAAAAAUUAUAACAAAAAAGUGUUUUGUGUUGAAAUCAUAGGAUUUCAGAGAUUUGCCAUUGUUAUUUAACUUACGGUAAUUGUAGUAUAACAAUGGCAAAUGUCUGAAAUCCUAUGAUGCUUUCAAAUCAUCAAUUGUCAGUAACAAGCUUUAACCCUCUAAGUGCUAGCACAUUUUUAGAGAUAUGGUUUUUUUAAAAAUUACAUUACAUACAAUAAUGCUUUCAAAUAUCAUGUAUUAUACUUACAUUUUUCGGAAAUACAGUAAAACAUUUUUUUUUAUUGAAGAGGUACAGUUUUUUUAAUUUAUUUUGUAACAAUAAUUUCAGAAUAUACAAAUUGUUUCUAAUUUGAUUCUGAAUAACUUAAAUGUUGCAGCAAAGGUUUUUUAACAAAUAAAAUCUGACAAUGACGCCCACCAUAGUGUCUGAUUCAGCUGACUUAUAUUUCUCAUAAGUUACUUUGCAUAAUCUUCCAAAUUAGUAGUCUACUUUCAGUUCAGUCAGUGCAUAGAGGAAUCUUACUUAACAAAGACCAUAAAUAUUGAAUAAACCAUUUGUUUGUAACACAACAAAACCAAAAGAUAUCACAAUGCGAUGAUAGCACUUUGAGGGUUAAACAAAGAAUCAAAUAGUUAAUAUCUAGUUUUCAUGUUUCAAACAAAAACCAUGUUGCAACAGCAUUUUGUUACAUUAAUUCUUUGUUGACCACAAUAAUAUCUGUCCCAGUAAUCAACCAUUAUUGAUUGAUUUCUUUAUUCAAAACUAAUUUUGAUUUAUAAUUAUUUCAAAUCUAUAACAUAUGAUGUAAUAUUACUCUUUAUAACCACAACAAUAUAUUUUUAAAACCUUGUUAAUCUGUACUGAUUAAAGUUAAAAGAAACUAGUGUUAGAUUGUCCUUUUUUAUAUACUUAUAUUUGUAAAUAUAAGAAAAAUUAGUCUUUAAGCUUACACAUCCACAAAAUUUUGAGGUGCUAUGUGUAGGUGUUUUAUAUAUUCAAUUUUAUAAGAAGGAUUUUAUUCAAUAAUUAAAAGUUCCAUAUGUAGUGAAAUAAUUAGAUAUUUAAACUUUAUAGUAUGAUGUGAAACUAUAGUAAGAACAUUAUUCUUUUGACAUCCAGCAUAGUAACUUUCAAUGAGUAGAAAGAAUGAGCAAACAUAUUUGCAUUUUUAACUUAAUUACAAUGUCAUUGCUUUUGCUUUGAUGGAUUAUAAAUAUUUAGUGAUAAAAGAAUAUUGCAUGUAAGGUAGAGUGCUGACAAACAAGUGAAAUUCUUAAAAGUAGGGAUAUAUUUUUAAAUAUACAUGUACAUAUUCUCUUAUAAGUAUUUACUUUAAGCUUGCAUAUGUGAAAUUUCACUCGUAGUAGAUUUUCUAAGAUAAAUUGUAUAAAUAUUAGAUCAAUUGUACAAUGUAUAUACUAUUUUUAAAAUGUAAAAUAUCAUUAUUUUAAUUGACUUCUGAUGGUGGUGGGACAGGGUUAAGUUUCAAUUAGCAGAUAAAAGAUCUACAGACUUUAAAAACCAAUUAUAAAUCGUGUUUCGACUGUGCAAAUCUUUUUUGUUUCUUAUAUUGUUGUUAUUGUAAAAAGUAUAAAAAAUAUGUUCAUAAAAUUGCAAUGUACUAAACUAAAAUUAUAAUAAGAUUCAUAAUUUUUGUGCUAUGUGUCAAGACUAUGAAGUACAAUCUAUUGAUACACUAGAAUCUUGUUCAACCAAAUUUGUUGGGACUAAAGUAAUUAAUUUUGUGAAAUGAAAAUUCUGUUAAUAAAGGUAUUAAAAAAAUAUUUUAAAAUGUAAAUUAAAUAUUAACAACUUUUUUGUAUUAAAAUUGAUUUGUUUAAACUGAAACUUUGGUUAGUGGAAACUAAUGUAUUAGUUCUGUAUUAAAUCAGAUUCUGAGAGAUCAGUCCAUGUAGUUUGGAGUAAUAUAUGAAAACUAUAGUAAUUGUAAUAAUUUAUUAUUUUAGAGGAUGUGAAGCCAGGCUUGUCACAUUAGUUAACUGUGAAAUUUGCAAUAAUUAAAACUGAAUUCUGUUAGAUUUUUUUCAAAAAUGCAGAUUUUGUGUGAUUUUUGCAAUUUAUAAAAACACUAUAUUACCCUACCAUAUGUUUAAAUAUUAAAGAACAACACGUUGGUAACACCAUAACUGUGAAUUAACUCUGAGUCAGCCAAGAUGUUUUCUAGAAGGAUUCGCCAAAGUCAAUGUAUUUAACUAUCAGGUCUAUUAAAAUACACAUAGGUAACAUCUUAACUGUGAGUAACCUUAGAGUCAGUCUGAUUGCUCUCUAGACACGUUUUCCAAAGUCGAUAUUUUAAACUACCAGACCUAUGUUACAUGUAGGUAACACCUAAUCUGAGGGGUGGAGUAAAGACUUGUUAUUCAAGAGUACAUGUUAUACCAGGUUUUCAGGAUUAGGAAACGCUUUUUCAAUUAACCCUUUAAGAGAUAGAAUCAUUGUCAUAUCUCUGUAAUCCAGAUUCCUUAUUGGUAUCUGCCACAGACCUAGCACUUGCAUGGAUAACUCGUUAAGUUUGGGUGUUAAAAGAAAAGUCUAGUCUUAUUUCUCAAAACAAUCUCUAAACCCCCAGGCAAAGGUUAUUUUUGUCUGCUAACUGAAACUUGAGAAGUACUUAUUAAUUUAGAACCAUAUGUGCAUAUAAAUUGUACAGAUUGUAAUUUUAAGCCAGACAGUUUCAAGUGCCACAGUGGGACAUGUAUGUUCCACAAUAUGUUUUCUUUGUCAUAUUUUCAUGUAAAUGUUAAUAGUAAAUACCUUUCAUUAAAUUAUAUAAAUCUUUUUUA